Ictalurus punctatus (channel catfish) is the source of this 844-nucleotide long non-coding RNA. NCBI's taxonomy places the organism in Eukaryota, Metazoa, Chordata, Actinopteri, Siluriformes, Ictaluridae. The record is from Ensembl.
AAAAAACAACUUAAUUCCUGCUCUUCUUUAUGUUAUAGCACCUAUGAACUGUCCUUCCGUCACAAGCGUGUAUUUUUUCUUUCAAUUGAUGACAAAUCUCAGCUUGUCAUGUUACUGAGAAACCGCAAAGACACGUAAACUCCUAUGUCCUGAAGAUGUCUAAACUUUAAAGUUACAGCGAUGCCUUUGACUGUUGCAAAGCGCUGACACUGGAGACUCCUUCCAUGAAUGUUAAAUACACCUCUCCUUAGAGAAAACGUCGCCAUAUCGCUGUUACUAAAGAAACGACAAUGUAUUAGAGCGAGCGCAUUAAUAUAAACCUGUGACUUGCAGCUGCACUACUGUCAGAGCUGCUGUUAUAGAUAAUUAUUCAACACCUCUUCUGUUGUACUUUUCAGGAUUGUAUCUGUGUGUCUAGCUGGAAUCGAGGACUCAGGAUGUAUGCCAGUGUCGUACGUCUGCACAUUGUGACCUUCAUGCUAAGCGAGAAGAGCAGACGGGUGCAGUUUACCGCCCAGUCUCUCGGGAUAACUUUUAUGAGCUUCUGCACAGAAAGGGUGCACACAGCUUCUGCCCAAGAUUUGCUGGAGGAGUACAGGAGCUGAGCCUCAAGCCCAAAGCCACUGAGGACGAUGGCGACUUGGACAUUCAGUCUUCAAAAAUCUUCAGUUACUCUGAUUCUGCCAGCACAGAGUUCAUAUGGGAAUCACAUACUGUAUUUACAUCACUUCUCAUCUGAACUUAAUGCUGCCUACGAGUCAGUUCAGACUCUGUACUUUCUCUAGUCCUCCACUUUGGAUUAAAUGCCACAUAGUGACACUUAAUAAAACAAAAUUAUUAAGAA